UCCCGGGAGUGAUCCCAGAUCCUGGGAGUGAUUCCUGAUCCUGGGAGUGGUCCCAGAUCUUGGGGGUGAUUCCAGAUCCUGGGAGUGAUCCCGGAGUGAUCCCAGAUCCUGGGAAUGAUUCCUGAUCCUUGGGAGUGAUCCCGGGAGUGAUUCUGGGAGUGAUUCCUGAUACUGGGAGUGAUCCCAGAUCCUUGGGAGUGAUCCCAGGAGUGAUCCCAGAUCUUGGGGGUGAUUCCAGAUCCUGGGAGUGAUCCCGGAGUGAUCCCAGAUCUUGGGAGUGAUUCCUGAUCCUUGGGAGUGAUCCCAGAUCCUUGGGAGUGAUCCCAGGAGUGAUCCCAGAUCUUGGGGGUGAUUCCUGAUCCUGGGAGUGAUCCCGGGAGUGAUCCCAGAUCUUGGGGGUGAUUCCUGAUCCUGGGAGUGAUCCCGGGAGUGAUCCCAGAUCCUUGGGAGUGAUCCCAGAUCCCAGGAGUGAUCCUGGGAGUGAUCCCUGAUCCCAGGAAUGAUCCUGGAGUGAUCCUGGGAGUGAUCCCGGGGGUGAUUCCUAGUCCUGGGAGUGAUUCCUGAUCCUUGGGAAUGAUUCCUGAUCCCAGGAAUGAUCCUGGAGUGAUCCUGGGAGUGAUCCCAGAUCCUUGGGAGUGAUUCCCGGGAGUGAUUCCUGAUCCCAGGAGUGAUCCCGGGAGUGAUUCCUGUUCCCUGGGAAUUCCCAAUAUUCCCAGGUACCUGUGCCGUGUGGAGGAGACGCGUCAGUCGCUCAGGAUCCCCUCAAUUCCCGGUGUUUUUCCCAUUGUUAUUCCCAGUUUUUCCCGGUUUUAUUCCCGGUUUUUGCCAUUAUUCCGGUUGUCAUUCCGGUUGUUGUUCUGGUUGUUAUUCCCGUUAUUCCAGUUGUUGUUCCGGUUGUUGUCCCAGGUACCUGUGCCGGGUGGAGGAGAUGCGUCAGUCACUCAGGAUCCCGGGAAUUCCCGGUGUUACUCCCGUUGUUAUUCCCAUUGUCAUUCCUGGUUUUUCCCGGUUUUUCCCAUUAUUCCGGUUGUCAUUCCGAUUGUUGUUCCGGUUGUUCCGGUUGUUGUCCCAGGUACCUGUGCUGGGUGGAGGAGAUGCAUCAGUCGCUCAGGAUCCCCUGAAUUCCCGGUGUUUUUCCGGUUGUUAUUCCUGGUUUUUCCCGGUUUUUGCCAUUAUUCCGGUUGUCAUUCCGGUUGUUGUUCCGGUUGUUGUCGCAGGUACCUGUGCCGUGUGGAGGAGACGCGUCAGUCACUCAGGAUCCCCUGAAUUCCCGUGGUUAUUCCCGUUGUUAUUCCCAUUGUUAUUCCCAGAAUUCCCGGUUGUCAUUCCGGUUGUCAUUCCGGUUGUUGUUCCGGUUGUUGUCCCAGGUACCUGUGCCGGGUGGAGGAGAUGCGUCAGUCGCUCAGGAUCCCCUGAAUUCCCGGUGUUAUUCCCAGAAUUUCCAGUUUUAUUCCCAGAAUUCCCGGUGUUAUUCCCGUUAUUCCGGUUGUCAUUCCGGUUGUCAUUCCGGUUGUUGUCCCAGGUACCUGUGCCGUGUGGAGGAGAUGCGUCAGUCGCUCAGGAUCCCCGGAAUUCCCGGUGUUUUUCCCGUUGUUAUUCCCAUUGUUUUUCCCAGAAUUCCCAGUGUCAUUCCGGUUGUUAUUCCGGUUGUCAUUCCGGUUGUCAUUCCGGUUGUUGUUCCGGUUGUUGUCGCAGGUACCUGUGCCGUGUGGAGGAGAUGCGUCAGUCGCUCAGGAUCCCCUGAAUUCCCGGU
Molecule: long non-coding RNA, 1753 nt
Filed under: Parus major (Great Tit)
Lineage: Eukaryota; Metazoa; Chordata; Aves; Passeriformes; Paridae
Description: lncRNA (ENSPMJG00000001931.1)
Source: RNAcentral